Molecule: long non-coding RNA, 721 nt
Organism: Lotus japonicus
Lineage: Eukaryota; Viridiplantae; Streptophyta; Magnoliopsida; Fabales; Fabaceae
Exons: 4
Source: RefSeq, a predicted model, not a curated record
UGUUUUUAGUUGGAAUUAUUGGUUAUUGAUUUUUAUUUAUUUAGCAACCUUUUACUUCAGAUAUUUUUGGGAUUCUUACUAGAUCCAGUGGCGAGCAAUAAUUUGAAAAUGAUGGAGAACUACAAAAGCAAAUUACAAUCGAGCUUUAUCAGUAGGGGGAGACCUAGCAUUCAAAAUGUGUAUUGAGCUACAAAGAUCCUGUUUAAUCCUGAUGUUGAGGAGGCAGCUCCACUUCGUGAAAGGAUUUUUUUGAACUGAAUGACCCUGCAUCCCAGGUCUUGAGUUAGCUACAAGACUCUUGCAAAGUUCCCGUUGCCGAAGAUUUCUUGAACCUUACCGAAGGGAAGACAAUUGAGCAGAUAUAAGAUUUAUCAGAGAAAAAGAGUGUUGGUGAUGACUCUGCUGGAGCUUCCCAAGUUUCUGAAACUGGUAAAGAGGCUGAAUUGAAUAUCUCUGUUGAAUGCCAGAUUUCCCCUCACUCCCAGCGUCCAUCACCCCCUGAUGCUGAAGUUGUUGGAAACUCAGUUGCUGGCAAGAAAUCUCUGAAUCUCUGAUAGUUGUGGAAAAUGAGAAGAUCUGAAGAUUGUUUUUUUCUUGUGCUGGCUGUUAGUUAUUUGUCAGUGUUGUGUUUUCCAGUUUUCAGUUUUAUUUCAAUCUGCCUAUUAUUAGUUUGUUUUGUGAUGGCAGAUUAUUUUAUUUAGGUCCCUGUUUUGUUGUCUUA